Molecule: ribosomal RNA, 301 nt
Filed under: uncultured bacterium
Lineage: Bacteria
Description: partial 16S ribosomal RNA
Rfam family: Bacterial small subunit ribosomal RNA
Source: RNAcentral
CAGUCGCCGCGGGAAUACGUAGGGUGCAAGCGUUAAUCGGAAUUACUGGGCGUAAAGCGUGCGCAGGCGGUUAUAUAAGACAGAUGUGAAAUCCCCGGGCUCAACCUGGGAACUGCAUUUGUGACUGUAUAGCUAGAGUACGGCAGAGGGGGAUGGAAUUCCGCGUGUAGCAGUGAAAUGCGUAGAUAUGCGGAGGAACACCGAUGGCGAAGGCAAUCCCCUGGGCCUGUACUGACGCUCAUGCACGAAAGCGUGGGGAGCAAACAGGAUUAGAUACCCGCGUAGUCCCUGUCUCUUAUAU